Molecule: long non-coding RNA, 650 nt
Organism: Empidonax traillii (willow flycatcher)
Lineage: Eukaryota; Metazoa; Chordata; Aves; Passeriformes; Tyrannidae
Exons: 2
Source: RefSeq, a predicted model, not a curated record
GGUCGGUGCCUGCCCGGGCAGUGCGGGGUCACCUGCUCCGCCGACCCCGCCAGCGCGGGCACAGAAUGAAUGGGGGAGCGGCCGCGCCGGUCCCUGUCACCUCUAAAAGGUCACCAGACGCCGGACGCCUGAAGAAGUCCCAACAAGUGUCUUUGACCCAAAAAAUGAGGCAAGAAACGCGUCUCUCCGUGGCCUCGCCACCCCAGCUGCGCUUGUGUAACGCUCCCUGCCUACACAGCUUGCACCUUGGAUUAAAAGCUAUUAUUGCUGUUCUGCUUUCCGAGUGUGACCUCUGCUAGUGACUGUCGCAGUGAUUUCAGCUAGGAAUUGGCAUUAAUGAAGCACUAAACUAUGUGAAAUUUGCUACUGGACUCAGUGAUCCUAAAGAUCUUUUCCAACCUAAACGAUUCCACAUCUCAUCUGUGCUGCUUAUGUAACUUAUUUUCAAGGUCAUGAUUUCUCUUCUAAUGCAUAGAAGCCUCAAAAGAUGGGAGUUUGAUGAUAAGUUAUAUACAGGCAUAUUAUAUAUGGAAGUAAGAUACUUCCAAGAUACUAUGUAGCAGAUCAUAUACUUCCUCUAAAUUUAAUUUAGAUUUUUGUGCUACCAGAGUACAACUACUUUAUUAAAACUGGAGACCAUGGACAUGUGA